GCAGAAGUAACAUUCCUUUGAACACUCAGCUUUCUGAAAUGGUGUCCCACCGCAAGGACUGGAGAAGGGGUCUUCCUCUGCCACCCAGGCUGGAGUGUGCAGCAGCAUGACCGUGGCUUACUGCAGCUUCAACCUCUCAGGAUUAGGUAAUCCUCUUACUUUGGCCUCCCAAGUAGCAGGGACUACACAUGUGUAUUACCAUGCAUGGCUAAUUUUUUGCCUUUUUUGUAGAUAUAGGAUAUUGCCAUGUUGUUCGGCUGCUCUCAAGCUCCUGGGUGCAAGCAAUCCAUUUACCUUGGCCUCCCAAAGUGCUGAGAUUACAGGUGUGAGCCACUGUGCCCAGUUGAAAGUAUAUUUGUUAAUUUAACUGUAUUAGUUAAUUUUCAAAUGGUCUCCAUUUUUCUCUUGAUCUACUAGAGGCAUCAAUAACAGAACAGUGUUAGUCCUCUAUAAAAAACUGUUUCUGUACAUUUUUAACAUUAUGUAUUUGAUUCCAUUUUCUUAGCCUAUAAAGAUUUGUGGUGACCUUUUCACUACUUUAUUUGAAAGUAUACUUUUUCUGUAUAAAUGGCUUUUUGUAAUUGGAUUGCUUUUCCUGCAAUAUGCUUUUGGUUUAAAUUAAUAUUUU
RNAcentral lists this long non-coding RNA (628 nucleotides) under Homo sapiens (human). RNAcentral describes it as "non-protein coding TEX41:130". The record is from RNAcentral. Lineage: Eukaryota; Metazoa; Chordata; Mammalia; Primates; Hominidae.